This 272-nucleotide ribosomal RNA is filed under the name uncultured bacterium. RNAcentral's name for it is "partial 16S ribosomal RNA". It matches the Rfam family "Bacterial small subunit ribosomal RNA", at positions 524 to 794 of the family's 1533-position model. The record is from RNAcentral.
UACGGAGGGUGCGAGCGUUAAUCGGAAUUACUGGGCGUAAAGCGCACGUAGGCGGUUAGGUAAGUCGGAUGUGAAAGCCCUGGGCUUAACCUGGGAACUGCAUUCGAUACUGCCUGGCUAGAGUAUGGGAGAGGGAAGCGGAAUUUCCGGUGUAGCGGUGAAAUGCGUAGAUAUCGGAAGGAACACCAAUGGCGAAGGCAGCUUCCUGGCCCAAUACUGACGCUCAGGUGCGAAAGCGUGGGGAUCAAACAGGAUUAGAAACCCCGAGUAGU